Molecule: ribosomal RNA, 124 nt
Filed under: Periophthalmus magnuspinnatus
Lineage: Eukaryota; Metazoa; Chordata; Actinopteri; Gobiiformes; Gobiidae
Source: RNAcentral
UACUGUGUAACACUUUGAGACUGUCUGAUCUCAUCUGAUCACAUCUGAUCUCUUUUACUAAGCAAGGCUGGACCUGGUUAGUACUUGGAUGGGAGACUGCUGGGAAUAGCAGGUGGCGCAGUGG